UACGGAAGGCAGCAGUGGGGAAUAUUGCACAAUGGGCGCAAGCCUGAUGCAGCCAUGCCGCGUGUAUGAAGAAGGCCUUCGGGUUGUAAAGUACUUUCAGUCGUGAGGAAGGUGUUAAGGUUAAUAACCUUAGCAAUUGACGUUAGCGACAGAAGAAGCACCGGCUAACUCCGUGCCAGCAGCCGCGGUAAUACGGAGGGUGCGAGCGUUAAUCGGAAUUACUGGGCGUAAAGGGCACGCAGGCGGUUAAUUAAGUUGGAUGUGAAAUCCCCGGGCUUAACCUGGGAAUGGCAUUCAAGACUGGUUAGCUAGAGUCUUGUAGAGGGGGUAGAAUUCCAUGUGUAGCGGUGAAAUGCGUAGAGAUGUGGAGGAAUACCGGUGGCGAAGGCGGCCCCUGGACGAAAGACUGACGCUCAUGUGCGAAAGCGUGGGGAGCAAACAGGGAUUAGAUACC
RNAcentral lists this ribosomal RNA (454 nucleotides) under uncultured bacterium. Its description in RNAcentral is "bacterial SSU rRNA". It matches the Rfam family "Bacterial small subunit ribosomal RNA", at positions 340 to 786 of the family's 1533-position model. The record is from RNAcentral.